UUUCAUUUGCAUUUCCUCUGACGGGAGCACUACUGCCACACCCUGAGAGUCCAAGAAAUCUUUCUUUCGACUCCUUGGCUCACUGACCCCGCAUCAUUUCUGGUGGCCCGUACAGGGAUCUUGCUUCGCCGGCUUGUGAGUUCAAGUUCUGAGAAAUUCAUGGAAAGGAUUCUGACACAGGAUUCCAGAAAACACUUUUCUGAUAAACUUUCAGAUCAUAAAACUGAACUGGAUCCCUCCAGAUUUUGGAAACGUAGUGAGGGAUCUGUACACCUUGUCAGCCUUGGACUCCAUGGAUGCAACCUUCCAGUCCACUGAACGUCCUGCCUGUACCCCUAUGGUCCCCAUUUAGGGACAGCUCUACAACCUUGUACGGCCGGGAGUAGUUACAGAAGACUGACCAUUGUCCAUAUCGCCAAAGGAUUUCCAGGCCAAAUGGGUUCAGGGAGGAUUUCAUGAUGAGGAUCAAGGCUGCCCCAGGGAGAGAAGCCCAAGGCGUCCCGGCCUACAUGUCAAUCUAUAUCACCCUCCAGGAAGCAUAGGACAUCCUGAACUGAUUCGACCUGACUCAUAUCCAAAGUUAUAGGACCACCCAAUAACCAGACCCCACCUGCACUGAUACCAUUUUAAUGACUUUUUUACAUGAUCUUUCCUUUGUCUUGUAAAGAGAUAACUCAUACACCUACACCUUAUAAAUUUAGCCCUGCCCUCAAUCCAUUACAGCUCUUCACUGCCCAUGGGUCCUGUCGCCAUGCUAUUCUCUGAAUAAAAGAGCACUACUACCAGACCUGAAGACUCCAAGAAAUCUUUCUUCUGACUCCUCAGCUCGCCGAGCCCACAUCAGCUUCGUGGUAUCAGGGACUCAGAUUCUUGCUAUCUUACAGCUGCUCUUCCAUCUUCAACCGGCAGUUUCCACCUCAUGGUCCAAGGUAACUGCUCUGGCACUGCCAUCACGUCUACAUUCCUGCCAGUGGGAAGUAUAGAAAAGGAAGUAGAAUUCAACCCAUUUAGGGACACAAACCAGAAUGCUUUGUGCCACUUUCCCUCUCAUUCUUUUGGCCAGAGUUAGUCAGAUGUCCUACACUGCUGCAAGGGAGGCUGGAAACAGUGGUCAGUCCUUAACUGACAGGGCUGGGCAGCCAUGUUCUCUGCUAAAACUAGGGGUACUGUUACCAAUGCAUAUAUUGUCUGUUCUCUGCC
Molecule: long non-coding RNA, 1200 nt
Filed under: Equus caballus (horse)
Lineage: Eukaryota; Metazoa; Chordata; Mammalia; Perissodactyla; Equidae
Description: lncRNA (ENSECAG00000058761.1)
Source: RNAcentral